Molecule: ribosomal RNA, 374 nt
Filed under: uncultured organism
Description: partial 16S ribosomal RNA
Rfam family: Bacterial small subunit ribosomal RNA
Source: RNAcentral
GUAGGUGGCAAGCGUUGUCCGGAAUUAUUGGGGCGUAAAGCGCGCGCAGGCGGGUUCUUUAAGUCUGAUGUGAAAGCCCACGGGCUCAACCGUGGAGGGUCAUUGGAAACUGGGGAACUUGAGUACAGAAGAGGAAAGCGGAAUUCCACGUGUAGCGGUGAAAUGCGUAGAGAUGUGGAGGAACACCAGUGGCGAAGGCGGCUUUCUGGUCUGUAACUGACGCUGAGGCGCGAAAGCGUGGGGAGCAAACAGGAUUAGAUACCCUGGUAGUCCACGCCGUAAACGAUGAGUGCUAAGUGUUAGGGGGUUUCCGCCCCUUAGUGCUGCAGCUAACGCAUUAAGCACUCCGCCUGGGGAGUACGGCCGCAAGGCUG